RNAcentral lists this ribosomal RNA (498 nucleotides) under uncultured bacterium. RNAcentral describes it as "bacterial SSU rRNA". It matches the Rfam family "Bacterial small subunit ribosomal RNA", at positions 28 to 526 of the family's 1533-position model. The record is from RNAcentral.
GAUGAACGCUGGCGGCGUGCUUAACACAUGCAAGUCGAACGAACCUUCGGGUUAGUGGCGGACGGGUGAGUAACACGUGGAUAACCUACCUAUAAGACUGGGAUAACUUCGGGAAACCGGAGCUAAUACCGGAUAAUAUUUUGAACCGCAUGGUUCAAAAGUGAAAGACGGUCUUGCUGUCACUUAUAGAUGGAUCCGCGCUGCAUUAGCUAGUUGGUAAGGUAACGGCUUACCAAGGCAACGAUGCAUAGCCGACCUGAGAGGGUGAUCGGCCACACUGGAACUGAGACACGGUCCAGACUCCUACGGGAGGCAGCAGUAGGGAAUCUUCCGCAAUGGGCGAAAGCCUGACGGAGCAACGCCGCGUGAGUGAUGAAGGUCUUCGGAUCGUAAAACUCUGUUAUUAGGGAAGAACAUAUGUGUAAGUAACUGUGCACAUCUUGACGGUACCUAAUCAGAAAGCCACGGCUAACUACGUGCCAGCAGCCGCGGUAAAAC